This 433-nucleotide ribosomal RNA is filed under the name uncultured bacterium. RNAcentral's name for it is "partial 16S ribosomal RNA". It matches the Rfam family "Bacterial small subunit ribosomal RNA", at positions 29 to 507 of the family's 1533-position model. The record is from RNAcentral.
AACGAACGCUGGCGGCAUGCCUAACACAUGCAAGUCGAACGAGACCUUCGGGUCUAGUGGCGCACGUGUGCGUAACGCGUGGGAACCUGCCCUUAGGUUCGGAAUAACUCCCCGAAAGGGGUGCUAAUACCGGAUAAUGUCUUCGGACCAAAGAUUUAUCGCCUUUGGAUGGGCCCGGGUUGGAUUAGCUAGUUGGGAGGGUAAAAGCAUAUCAAGGCGACGAUACAUAGCUGGUCUGAGAGGAUGAUCUGCCACACUGGGACUGAGACACGGCCCAGACUCCUAGGGGAGGCAGGAGUGGGGAAUAUUGGAAAAGGGGGGAAAGCAUGAUCCAGCAAUGACGGGUGAGUGAUGAAGGGCUUAGGGUUGUAAAGCUCUUUUACACGGGACGAUAAUGACAGUACCGGGAGAAUAAGCACCGGCUAACUCCGUG